GACGAACGCUGGCGGCGUGCUUAACACAUGCAAGUCGAACGGAAAGGCCUCUUUCGGGGGGUACUCGAGUGGCGAACGGGUGAGUAACGCGUGAGUAACCUGCCCUUGACUUUGGGAUAACUUCAGGAAACUGGGGCUAAUACCGGAUAGGAGCUCCUGCUGCAUGGUGGGGGUUGGAAAGUUUCGGCGGUUGGGGAUGGACUCGCGGCUUAUCAGCUUGUUGGUGGGGUAGUGGCUUACCAAGGCUUUGACGGGUAGCCGGCCUGAGAGGGUGACCGGCCACAUUGGGACUGAGAUACGGCCCAGACUCCUACGGGAGGCAGCAGUGGGGAAUAUUGCACAAUGGGUGGAAGCCUGAUGCAGCAACGCCGUGUGCGGGAGGACGGCCUUCGGGUUGUAAACCGCUUUCGCUCAUGACGAAGCUUUGUGUGACGGUAGUGGGUAAAGAAGCACCGGCUAACUACGUG
Molecule: ribosomal RNA, 467 nt
Filed under: uncultured bacterium
Lineage: Bacteria
Description: partial 16S ribosomal RNA
Rfam family: Bacterial small subunit ribosomal RNA
Source: RNAcentral